Molecule: long non-coding RNA, 211 nt
Filed under: Sorghum bicolor (sorghum)
Lineage: Eukaryota; Viridiplantae; Streptophyta; Magnoliopsida; Poales; Poaceae
Description: long non-coding RNA (SBIC_LNC010428)
Source: RNAcentral
AUGCAAGAUAGAUGCACAGUCUACAUGGAAAGUACCAUAUGCUUAGAAAUUAAUUUGAACACACCUGAUAGAACUCCUUGAUGACGUGUGUCAUAUGGAAUCUCGCUUUGGUGUGCUUAGAGACAAUAUUAGUUUCGGUGCAAGAAAUGUGCACGGUUUGCGCCUAAUGCACCAAAGUCUAAGAAACCAUUUUGGAAGCACCUGCUGGUAC